CAUGUAAGGUGACACUGAUACAUGGCUGUCACGGAGCACUGUGUCAGAAGGUUAACAUCAUCGCUGUAGUGGCGGAGUGGAUUCUGGCAAUUGGCCUCAUGCUCAUCAUCCUCACAUACAUGCCAGAUUUUCAGCAAUUGUGUAUAAAAUGGCCACAGAAGCUGCUUGACGACUGGAUAUGUUUGAGGGAAGCGCUGCAUGCUGGGACAGAAUAUCCAUGACCACACUCCGGAAGACUUUGGCCCUAUUAUAUCACUAUCAGCGGAGCCAUAUGUAACAUCAGGACGGAAUGCCCAUCGUGCUACCAGUGUGCAGCCAACCCCCACUGGCUGUCACACAUCAAUGUCCAUGUCCCCAUUACUGGGUCCGGAGGUGUCACCUUACUGCCAUCUGUGUCUCCGGCGGCCACCUGAGCAAUCCUGAGACCCUUCUGUAAUGUGCAGUUCCUGCGGUUCUGCAUCAUGGGCACCAUCUUGGACAGUAUCACGUGAUCCAUUCUGACAAACCAGCCUUCACUAACUCCAGUCACGAUUUAGACAGCCCAAUAGUUCUAAGGGUGCCCUAUUAAAUCCAGAAAAUGCUGUCUGCAUAUUACAUCAUUAUCUGUGGAUUAGUACCCUGGCUCCUGGUUCAAUAACUGCUCCAGAGCCAUCUGCUCCAGUGACAUUGGCUCAAAUCACAUCCACAGUCAAUGCAGGAGGUACCAAACACAUAUCCAACAGAUUAAAGCAGCGCAUUUUAGCACUACGGCACCGGACAGAGCGCCUCUCCUGGGCUUGUGACAUCGCUAAUUGGUCCCUGGAGGUCUGGCAACAUGUGGUGUGGUCCUAAGGACUUGCAGCAAAAUGGGGUCCCUUGACGUGGGCUGCAAGCUUAA
Long non-coding RNA from Pseudophryne corroboree (corroboree frog), 877 nucleotides. RefSeq lists it as uncharacterized. NCBI's taxonomy places the organism in Eukaryota, Metazoa, Chordata, Amphibia, Anura, Myobatrachidae. The transcript is spliced from 3 exons. The record is from RefSeq and is a predicted model, not a curated record.